Molecule: unclassified non-coding RNA, 832 nt
Filed under: Hevea brasiliensis (rubber tree)
Lineage: Eukaryota; Viridiplantae; Streptophyta; Magnoliopsida; Malpighiales; Euphorbiaceae
Source: RNAcentral
UAUUUCAAUUUUUAUUUACAUUCGGUUUACAAACUCUUAACUUCUUUACCUACAGCAAUAAUUGGAAACCAGCGUAAAGUGAUGGGGAACUAAGUCAAUAUUCAAUACUCAAACAGGAGGGUAGACUUCAUUAACCCUGCAAUCUUAUGGGCUCCAACUCACUUGGGUGUCCUGUAGUUGCAGAUACAAGAUUCCUCUCUCUCUCUCUGCUUUCCAUUACCUUAUUAAUAAUAAAUAAAGCUAAAUAUAAUUUACUUGAGAGGCAGCAGGCAGUCCAAUAAGUUCAUUUUCAUCAUCCUUCUCCAUCUUCAGUUAAGUUUCCCUAUCAAAGCAUAAAUUCAUACACAUAGGCAGAUAAAGUGUUGCUCUUUCUGCCUAAUCUCAUUCUCUGCAACUUUUCCUUUUUCUAGUACCCUCUUUUUCACAUCUUCCAACUCCCAGUUCAGCUUCAUUAAUUCAUCAUACAUCAAUAACACAUUAUCAACAUUCAACGACUCCUUUUUUCUGCCUGCUCCUCCUCUGCUCCAAUCGCUUUUCUUUUCUUUUCGAUUUGGUCACCAGAACAACUAAAAUUGCAGUUGAUCACCUUCUCUCCCUCUCUCUUUCUCUCUCCCACGCUUUCUGACUGAUCCUGGAGACAUAUCUGUUGUUUACUUUGUGUCACAGGCAGGUCCCUUAGCAGUUGGCUUUUUGCCAGUGGUCAGAGUUUAGUUUGUUAUCUUAACCCAUACAUGUUAGGUUGGGUCUAGCAUCCUUAAUAUUGUUUCUUUAAUAAUAGUAUUAUGACUCUUCAAAGUUAUAUUGAUAUCAUUUCUACAUAAAUUGGAGUAAA